Molecule: long non-coding RNA, 602 nt
Filed under: Drosophila guanche
Lineage: Eukaryota; Metazoa; Arthropoda; Insecta; Diptera; Drosophilidae
Source: RNAcentral
GUUAGUUUCAUUUUAGUUUUGUCUUGUUUCUGAUUUUGGUAAUUUCUGCUUGCUUAGCUAUAGCUUAGCUUAGUCUAGUUAUGAUUAGAUCUAAUUUUCCUCGAAUAUUAGCCUAACAUCUAUCUUUCCUGCAUGCUCGCGACCGGUUCGGUUAAUCGCGCCGCGCGUCAUGCGGCAGUGCCCCUCGGUCGGUUGGGCGGGAGGAGGGCUGCGUUCUGCUAGGUUCCGCGCGUAACAGGCUUUGGCUUGGUGUCGCAUGGGCCACUUGAUGGUGCAGUCAUUGCAUAUCAACGUCCAACGUCAACGUCAAACCCACCCUGUCCCGCAGCUUUUGUUGCUCUUUUUACAUUCUCUCGUUCACACUCUGCUUCUGCUUCACUCGGCCCCUGCCUCUGCCCUCCCCCUGGCGUUGACUCUUCCGACUUUUACCAAGACUCGGUUUUGAACGCUAGAUGGCGGCACUUUCGAAAAAUUUGCUGUGAAACCUAUCGGUCAUUAUUGCACAGAAUGUGCAGAAUAUUAAACCAUCAAAGUUGCGUACAAGAAAUUUUCAUAGAUGGCGCCACUUUCGAAAAAUUUGCUGUGAAACCUAUCGGUCCAUG